CCAGCUCCAAUAGCGUAUAUUAAAGUUGUUGCAGUUAAAAAGCUCGUAGUUGAAGUUCUGAUUGCUCAGCUCUUCAGCCAUUAGGCGGGGAGUCUGACAGUCAUCCGCUUGCAAACAUAUGUUCGCUUUUAACCGGGCGGCUAUGUGAGUAAGCAUUUUACCUUGAGAAAAACAGAGUGUUCCAGGCAGGUUUGUCCGGAAUGCAUUAGCAUGGAAUAAUAGAACAUGACUGGAGUCUAUUUAUUGGUUUAAGGCUUUAGUAAUGAUUAAUAGGAACAGUCGGGGGCAUUCGUACUCAGCAGUCAGAGGUGAAAUUCUAAGAUUUGCUGAAGACGAACUAAUGCGAAAGCAUUUGCCAAGGAUGUUUUCA
This 370-nucleotide ribosomal RNA is filed under the name uncultured Vorticella. RNAcentral's name for it is "SSU rRNA". It matches the Rfam family "Eukaryotic small subunit ribosomal RNA", at positions 585 to 972 of the family's 1831-position model. The record is from RNAcentral. Lineage: Eukaryota; Ciliophora; Oligohymenophorea; Sessilida; Vorticellidae.